UACGUAGGGUGCAAGCGUUGUCCGGAAUUAUUGGGCGUAAAGAGCUCGUAGGCGGUCUGUCGCGUCGGCUGUGAAAACCCGAGGCUCAACCUCGGGCCUGCAGUCGAUACGGGCAAACUGGAGUACUGCAGGGGAGACUGGAAUUCCUGGUGUAGCGGUGAAAUGCGCAGAUAUCAGGAGGAACACCGGUGGCGAAGGCGGGUCUCUGGGCAGUAACUGACGCUGAGGAGCGAAAGCGUGGGGAGCGAACAGG
This 253-nucleotide ribosomal RNA is filed under the name uncultured bacterium. RNAcentral's name for it is "partial 16S ribosomal RNA". It matches the Rfam family "Bacterial small subunit ribosomal RNA", at positions 524 to 776 of the family's 1533-position model. The record is from RNAcentral.